Unclassified non-coding RNA from Pongo abelii (Sumatran orangutan), 148 nucleotides. It matches the Rfam family "Metazoan signal recognition particle RNA". Rfam says of the family: The signal recognition particle (SRP) is a universally conserved ribonucleoprotein. The record is from Ensembl. NCBI's taxonomy places the organism in Eukaryota, Metazoa, Chordata, Mammalia, Primates, Hominidae.
GCUGGGCGUGGUGGCGGGCGCCUGUAAUCCCAGCUACUCAGGAGGCUGAGGCAGGAGAAUUGCUUGAACCCAGGAGGCAGAGGUUGCAGUGAGCCAAGAUCACACUACUGCACUCCAGCCUGGGCAACAGAGCAAGACUCUGUCUCAA